GCACAUGUGGUUCGCAAUCCAUCCCACAAUAAAAAACUAGGAGGAC
This 46-nucleotide non-coding RNA is filed under the name Lacticaseibacillus nasuensis. RNAcentral describes it as "Lactobacillus nasuensis PreQ1-I sequence". It matches the Rfam family "PreQ1 (pre queuosine) riboswitch aptamer". Rfam says of the family: This family is a bacterial riboswitch that binds to the metabolite preQ1, an intermediate in the biosynthesis of the modified nucleoside queuosine from GTP. RNAcentral also lists the same sequence under 1 other name. The record is from RNAcentral. Lineage: Bacteria; Bacillati; Bacillota; Bacilli; Lactobacillales; Lactobacillaceae.